GGACCAGUGGCGUAGCGGUUAUCGCGUCUGUUUUACACACAGAAGGUCGUCGGUUCAAUCCCGACCUGGUUCA
Molecule: transfer RNA, 73 nt
Organism: Exidia glandulosa HHB12029
Lineage: Eukaryota; Fungi; Basidiomycota; Agaricomycetes; Auriculariales; Exidiaceae
Rfam family: tRNA
About the family: Transfer RNA (tRNA) molecules are approximately 80 nucleotides in length.
Source: Rfam